GUGGGGAAUAUUCCGCAAUGGACGAAAGUCUGACGGAGCAACGCCGCGUGAGUGAUGAAGGUUUUCGGACUGUAAAGCUCUGUUGUUUAGGACGAAAGUGCCUGUUGCGAACAGUUACAGGUAUUGACGGUACUAAACGAGGAAGCCACGGCUAACUACGUGCCAGCAGCCGCGGUAAUACGUAGGUGGCAAGCGUUGUCCGGAAUUAUUGGGCGUAAAGAGCAUGUAGGCGGAGAUUUAAGUCUGUUGUGAAAAUGCGGGGCUCAACCCCGUAUUGGGAUGGAAACUGGGUUUCUUGAGUGCAGGAGAGGAAAGGGGAAUUCCCAGUGUAGCGGUGAAAUGCGUAGAUAUUGGGAGGAACACCAGUGGCGAAGGCGCCUUUCUGGACUGUGUCUGACGCUGAGAUGCGAAAGCCAGGGUAGCGAACGGGAUUAGAAACCCGGGUAGUCC
This 450-nucleotide ribosomal RNA is filed under the name uncultured bacterium. Its description in RNAcentral is "partial 16S ribosomal RNA". It matches the Rfam family "Bacterial small subunit ribosomal RNA", at positions 354 to 796 of the family's 1533-position model. The record is from RNAcentral.